CUGGUGGCGAGUGGCGAACGGGUGAGUAAUGUAUCGGAACGUGCCUAGUAGCGGGGGAUAACUACGCGAAAGCGUAGCUAAUACCGCAUACGCCCUACGGGGGAAAGCAGGGGAUCGCAAGACCUUGCACUAUUAGAGCGGCCGAUAUCGGAUUAGCUAGUUGGUGGGGUAACGGCUCACCAAGGCGAAGAAAAGUAGCUGGUUUGAGAGGACGACCAGCCACACUGGGACUGAGACACGGCCCAGACUCCUACGGGAGGCAGCAGUGGGGAAUUUUGGACAAUGGGGGAAACCCUGAUCCAGCCAUCCCGCGUGUGCGAUGAAGGCCUUCGGGUUGUAAAGCACUUUUGGCAGGAAAGAAACGUCAUGGGCUAAUACCCCGUGAAGCUGACGGUACCUACAGAAUAAGCACCGGCUAACUAC
This 423-nucleotide ribosomal RNA is filed under the name Achromobacter xylosoxidans. RNAcentral describes it as "bacterial SSU rRNA". It matches the Rfam family "Bacterial small subunit ribosomal RNA", at positions 85 to 504 of the family's 1533-position model. The record is from RNAcentral. Lineage: Bacteria; Pseudomonadati; Pseudomonadota; Betaproteobacteria; Burkholderiales; Alcaligenaceae.